UUUGUGCAUUAUAAUAAGCGGAGGAAAAGAAACUAACAAGGAUUCCCCUAGUAGCGGCGAGCGAAGCGGGAAGAGCUCAAAUUUAUAAUCUGGCACCUUCGGUGUCCGAGUUGUAAUCUCUAGAAAUGUUUUCCGCGUUGGACCGCACACAAGUCUGUUGGAAUACAGCGGCAUAGUGGUGAGACCCCCGUAUAUGGUGCGGACGCCCAGCGCUUUGUGAUACAUUUUCGAAGAGUCGAGUUGUUUGGGAAUGCAGCUCAAAUUGGGUGGUAAAUUCCAUCUAAAGCUAAAUAUUGGCGAGAGACCGAUAGCGAACAAGUACCGUGAGGGAAAGAUGAAAAGCACUUUGGAAAGAGAGUUAACAGUACGUGAAAUUGUUGGAAGGGAAACGCUUGAAGUCAGACUUGCUUGCCGAGCAAUCGGUUUGCAGGCCAGCAUCAGUUUUCCGGGAUGGAUAAUGGUAGAGAGAAGGUAGCAGUUUCGGCUGUGUUAUAGCUCUCUGCUGGAUACAUCUUGGGGGACUGAGGAACGCAGUGUGCCUUUGGCGGGGGUUUCGACCUCUUCACACUUAGGAUGCUGGUGGAAUG
Molecule: ribosomal RNA, 587 nt
Filed under: Rhodotorula mucilaginosa
Lineage: Eukaryota; Fungi; Basidiomycota; Microbotryomycetes; Sporidiobolales; Sporidiobolaceae
Description: eukaryotic LSU rRNA
Rfam family: Eukaryotic large subunit ribosomal RNA
Source: RNAcentral